RNAcentral lists this long non-coding RNA (459 nucleotides) under Salvia miltiorrhiza (redroot sage). Its description in RNAcentral is "long non-coding RNA (SMIL_LNC010004)". The record is from RNAcentral. Lineage: Eukaryota; Viridiplantae; Streptophyta; Magnoliopsida; Lamiales; Lamiaceae.
CACUACAACAAUUUCGCUAAUAGACAACAGGCCAAAACCGUUCCUGGGCUUGUUUUCUCCUGGGUUUGUUGUUGGGUCUCUUUCGUCUUCGUCUGGUUUUGCAGGUGGUUGGUGUUUUCGUCCGUUCCUGUGCUGUUGGAGUUUUUCGGUGGUUUUGGUUCUGGGCGUUUGGUUUUCGGUGUUUUGUUGUUUUUCGCUCUCGCGGUCUGCGGCCUUUGUUGGUCUUUUGUUUCUACUGUACUUUAGUUUUCUUUGGUUGUUUCUUCUUUUUUUACGGACUCUCUUGUUUUUGUUGAGGUCCGGCCCUUAGUUUGCGUCUGUGCUCUCAAGGAUUUUUCUCGGUAUUUUUCUUUUUGCUUUUAAUAAAAUUUCUAUUGCAGUAACAUGCCAAAACCGUUGUCUAUUAGAAAAGUGUAUGUCAUAAAUGAAGGUGUAGUCUAUGUAGGGGAGCUGAUAGAC